This 410-nucleotide ribosomal RNA is filed under the name uncultured bacterium. RNAcentral describes it as "bacterial SSU rRNA". It matches the Rfam family "Bacterial small subunit ribosomal RNA", at positions 370 to 772 of the family's 1533-position model. The record is from RNAcentral.
AAUGGGCGAAAGCCUGAUCCAGCAAUGCCGCGUGCAGGAUGAAGGCCUUCGGGUUGUAAACUGCUUUUGUACGGAACGAAAAAGCUUCUCCUAAUACGAGAGGCCCAUGACGGUACCGUAAGAAUAAGCACCGGCUAACUACGUGCCAGCAGCCGCGGUAAUACGUAGGGUGCGAGCGUUAAUCGGAAUUACUGGGCGUAAAGCGUGCGCAGGCGGUUAUGUAAGACAGAUGUGAAAUCCCCGGGCUCAACCUGGGAACUGCAUUUGUGACUGCAUGGCUAGAGUACGGUAGAGGGGGAUGGAAUUCCGCGUGUAGCAGUGAAAUGCGUAGAUAUGCGGAGGAACACCGAUGGCGAAGGCAAUCCCCUGGACCUGUACUGACGCUCAUGCACGAAAGCGUGGGGAGCAAA